Molecule: ribosomal RNA, 220 nt
Filed under: uncultured Pseudomonadales bacterium
Lineage: Bacteria; Pseudomonadati; Pseudomonadota; Gammaproteobacteria; Pseudomonadales
Description: partial 16S ribosomal RNA
Rfam family: Bacterial small subunit ribosomal RNA
Source: RNAcentral
UAAUGCCUAGGAAUCUGCCUGGUAGUGGGGGACAACGUUUCGAAAUGAACGCUAAUACCGCAUACGUCCUACGGGAGAAAGCAGGGGACCUUCGGGCCUUGCGCUAUCAGAUGAGCCUAGGUCGGAUUAGCUAGUUGGUGAGGUAAUGGCUCACCAAUGCGACGAUCCGUAACUGGUCUGAGAGGAUGAUCAGUCACACUGGAACUGAGACACGGUCCAG